UAUGUUUUAGUAUAUGAUGUACAUGAGUUUUUGAAAUUUAGAGAAGUAGUUGGAUUCUACUAAACAUAA
RNAcentral lists this transfer RNA (69 nucleotides) under Curculionoidea sp. 26 KM-2017. RNAcentral describes it as "tRNA-Gln". Lineage: Eukaryota; Metazoa; Arthropoda; Insecta; Coleoptera. The record is from RNAcentral.